RNAcentral lists this ribosomal RNA (640 nucleotides) under Streptomyces chromofuscus. RNAcentral describes it as "bacterial SSU rRNA". It matches the Rfam family "Bacterial small subunit ribosomal RNA", at positions 109 to 762 of the family's 1533-position model. The record is from RNAcentral. Lineage: Bacteria; Bacillati; Actinomycetota; Actinomycetes; Kitasatosporales; Streptomycetaceae.
AGUAACACGUGGGCAAUCUGCCCUGCACUCUGGGACAAGCCCUGGAAACGGGGUCUAAUACCGGAUACUGAGCCACUUGGGCAUCCAAGUGGUUCGAAAGCUCCGGCGGUGCAGGAUGAGCCCGCGGCCUAUCAGCUUGUUGGUGAGGUAAUGGCUCACCAAGGCGACGACGGGUAGCCGGCCUGAGAGGGCGACCGGCCACACUGGGACUGAGACACGGCCCAGACUCCUACGGGAGGCAGCAGUGGGGAAUAUUGCACAAUGGGCGAAAGCCUGAUGCAGCGACGCCGCGUGAGGGAUGACGGCCUUCGGGUUGUAAACCUCUUUCAGCAGGGAAGAAGCGAAAGUGACGGUACCUGCAGAAGAAGCGCCGGCUAACUACGUGCCAGCAGCCGCGGUAAUACGUAGGGCGCAAGCGUUGUCCGGAAUUAUUGGGCGUAAAGAGCUCGUAGGCGGCUUGUCACGUCGGUUGUGAAAGCCCGGGGCUUAACCCCGGGUCUGCAGUCGAUACGGGCAGGCUAGAGUUCGGUAGGGGAGAUCGGAAUUCCUGGUGUAGCGGUGAAAUGCGCAGAUAUCAGGAGGAACACCGGUGGCGAAGGCGGAUCUCUGGGCCGAUACUGACGCUGAGGAGCGAAAGCGU